GAAUUGCGAUAAGUAAUGUGAAUUGCAGAAUUCAGUGAAUCAUCGAAUCUUUGAACGCACAUUGCGCUCCUGGGUAUUCCCGGGAGCACGCCUGUUUGAGAAUCGAUAAAUCCCUCCCGAAUCAAUUGUUUUGGAUUUCGGUCCAUGCUUGGGUUUGGAUUUGGAUGUUUGCCGGUGAUGAACCGACUCAUCUUAAAAGUAUUAGCUGGAUCUGUCUAUAUGACUGGUUUGACUUGGCAUAAUAAGUAUUUUGCUGAGGACAUCUUCGGAUGGCCAGUACCUAGACUACUGUCUGCUAACUAAACCAUCACUUUAAGUGCAUCUUUGGAUGUUACUCAUUGUGUAACUUUGACAUCUGGCCUCAAAUCAAGUAGGACUACCCGCUGAACUUAA
This 393-nucleotide unclassified non-coding RNA is filed under the name uncultured fungus. RNAcentral's name for it is "sequence contains ITS1". The stretch from base 1 to 105 matches the Rfam family "5.8S ribosomal RNA", at positions 50 to 154 of the family's 154-position model. The record is from RNAcentral. Lineage: Eukaryota; Fungi.